CACAAACAUAUACAAACUCAUUAGAGAAAAUAAUUAUUGCCUGAGUGUAUCAAGAAUAUAAUACGACUGCAGUUGAAAAGUAUAUUAUAAAUACAAAUUUAACAGUUCAUACAUGUGCCUAAUUUAUUUUAAAGUAUUUAUGCAUA
Molecule: long non-coding RNA, 146 nt
Organism: Octopus sinensis (East Asian common octopus)
Lineage: Eukaryota; Metazoa; Mollusca; Cephalopoda; Octopoda; Octopodidae
Exons: 3
Source: RefSeq, a predicted model, not a curated record